AGCGAACGUUAGCGGCAGGCCUAACACAUGCAAGUCGAGCGAGAAAGGGGCUUCGGCCCUGAGUAAAGCGGCGGACGGGUGCGUAACACGUGGAUAAUCUGCCCUUUGGCGGGGGACAACAACUCGAAAGGGUUGCUAAUACCGCAUAAGUCGGCUGUCUCGAUGAGGCGGUCGGGAAAGAGGGCGCCCGCAAGGGGCUCUCACCAGAGGAUGAGUCCGCGGCCCAUCAGCUAGUUGGCGGGGUAAAAGCCCACCAAGGCGUAGACGGGUAGCUGGUCUGAGAGGAUGAUCAGCCACACUGGGACUGAGACACGGCCCAGACUCCUACGGGAGGCAGCAGUGGGGAAUAUUGGGCAAUGGGCGCAAGCCUGACCCAGCCAUGCCGCGUGAGUGAUGAAGGCC
Molecule: ribosomal RNA, 402 nt
Filed under: uncultured bacterium
Lineage: Bacteria
Description: bacterial SSU rRNA
Rfam family: Bacterial small subunit ribosomal RNA
Source: RNAcentral